UACGUAGGGUGCAAGCGUUGUCCGGAAUUAUUGGGCGUAAAGAGCUCGUAGGCGGUUUGUCGCGUCUGCUGUGAAAACUCGGGGCUUAACCCCGGGCCUGCAGUGGGUACGGGCAGACUAGAGUGCGGUAGGGGAGACUGGAAUUCCUGGUGUAGCGGUGAAAUGCGCAGAUAUCAGGAGGAACACCGGUGGCGAAAGCGGCGCACUGGACCACAACUGACGCUGAGGCGCGAAAGCUAGGGGAGCAAACAGG
Molecule: ribosomal RNA, 253 nt
Filed under: uncultured bacterium
Lineage: Bacteria
Description: partial 16S ribosomal RNA
Rfam family: Bacterial small subunit ribosomal RNA
Source: RNAcentral